UACGAAGGGGGCUAGCGUUGCUCGGAAUCACUGGGCGUAAAGCGCACGUAGGCGGGUUGUUAAGUCGGGGGUGAAAUCCUGGAGCUCAACUCCAGAACUGCCUUCGAUACUGGCGACCUUGAGUCCGGGAGAGGUGAGUGGAACUCCGAGUGUAGAGGUGAAAUGCGCAGAUAUCAGGAAGAACACCCGUGGCGAAGGCGGCUCUCUGGUACGUGACUGACGCUGAGACGCGAAAGCGUGGGGAGCGAACAGG
RNAcentral lists this ribosomal RNA (253 nucleotides) under uncultured bacterium. RNAcentral's name for it is "partial 16S ribosomal RNA". It matches the Rfam family "Bacterial small subunit ribosomal RNA", at positions 524 to 776 of the family's 1533-position model. The record is from RNAcentral.